Molecule: transfer RNA, 85 nt
Filed under: Armatimonadota bacterium
Lineage: Bacteria; Bacillati; Armatimonadota
Also listed under: 1 other name
Description: Armatimonadetes bacterium (soil metagenome) tRNA-Leu
Rfam family: tRNA
About the family: Transfer RNA (tRNA) molecules are approximately 80 nucleotides in length. Their secondary structure includes four short double-helical elements and three loops (D, anti-codon, and T loops).
Source: RNAcentral
GCGCGGGUGGUGGAAUGGUAGACACGCAUGCUUGAGGUGCAUGUGCCCAAAAGGCGUGAAGGUUCGAGUCCUUUUCCGCGCACCA